GAAGACUUCAUUGGAUUUGCCAAGUACGUAUACAGCCAUUGUCACAGGGGCAGCACCUAUUUCUACCCCCAGCACCAAGACCAAAAUCUUCAUCUAACUGGUGGGGAUGCUGGGCAAAGGGUAGAGCCAUCUAGGAAUGCUUUGAAGCUUUUCUGUGCUAACUGUGACCUCCGUCACAGUGUUCUCACCUAGCAUGUUGUCUGUGGACAUCACAGGGACAAAAUGUGUGUUCUGUGGCCAUUCUCCAGGAAGAGGAAGGCCAGGCAGGUUCAUCCCUGCAGGACUUCUCAGAGCUUUUCAUAGUCAGAGCCCCUUUCAGGCUCUGCCUUUCACAGACUGUACAUAUAUACAUACACACUGUAGAUUUAAAACUAGAAACUGGGGCUGGGAUGUCUCCAUUGUGAGCAUGCACAAGAUCCUGGAUGAGACCACAGGACCAAUACAACAGAUACCAUACCUGGUUGUAUUGGUCCUGAGUCAAUCAUCAGCUCUGGACCAGCUGGGCAAACUUGGGUGCUACUGGGGGUGUUCUGGUGGCUCAUGCAGGUUUUCUUAGCUUUGGUCAAUAGGACACUGCCGCGCACCAAAAGACAUCUCUCUUGUAUCCAUCUACACUACUGGUGUACUUUCAGGCCAGGUCUACCUGCCCACAGGAAGUCCCUGUGCAAAGACUCACUGUUAAGAUAGGUCUGCUCAAGGCUCUUGGAAGUCCUGAGGGUGGCUGUGGGGCCUGACCUUAGGGUUUU
This 746-nucleotide long non-coding RNA is filed under the name Rattus norvegicus (Norway rat). RNAcentral describes it as "long non-coding RNA NONRATT027498". The record is from RNAcentral. Lineage: Eukaryota; Metazoa; Chordata; Mammalia; Rodentia; Muridae.